AUGAUGAAUAAGAAGGACUCAAGGGAGGAGGAGCGCCGGCGUUUCAAGGCGGAGCAAAUGGAUGCUUUCAUGGAGAUCCAAAGGAGGAGGCUUGAUCUUGACGCUGAGAAGCAAGCCAAGAUGUUCGAGCUCGAGGCGGAGAAGCAAGCCAGGAUGCUAGAGAUCGAGGCCGCCAACGCCAAGACCAAGGCGAAAGAAGUGGCACUUGCGAGCAUGAUGACCGGGGUGGAGAUCAUGAAGGUGGAUCUCAACACCGUGUCGCCAAGGAAGAGGCCAUGGUUCGAGAAGAUCCAGGCCGACAUGCUCAAGUUCGCCGGCGAGUGA
Molecule: ribosomal RNA, 324 nt
Filed under: Triticum aestivum (bread wheat)
Lineage: Eukaryota; Viridiplantae; Streptophyta; Magnoliopsida; Poales; Poaceae
Description: partial small subunit ribosomal RNA
Source: RNAcentral